CGAGGCUUGACAUCCUAGGAACCCUGUAGAAAUACGGGGGUGCCUUCGGGAGCCUAGUGACAGGUGCUGCAUGGCCGUCGUCAGCUCGUGUCGUGAGAUGUUGGGUUAAGUCCCGCAACGAGCGCAACCCUUGUCGUAUGUUGUAUUUUUCAUGCGAGACUGCCCGGGCCAACCGGGAGGAAGGUGGGGAUGACGUCAGGUCAGCAUGGCCCUUACGCCUCGGGCUACACACGUCAUACAAUGGCCGGUACAACGCGCCGCGAAACCGCGAGGUGGAGCUAAUCGCAUCAAAACCGGUCUCAGUUCGGAUUGGAGGCUGCAACUCGCCUCCAUGAAGUCGGAUUCGCUAGUAAACGUGGGUCAGCACACCACGUUGAAUACGUUCCC
Molecule: ribosomal RNA, 387 nt
Filed under: uncultured bacterium
Lineage: Bacteria
Description: bacterial SSU rRNA
Rfam family: Bacterial small subunit ribosomal RNA
Source: RNAcentral